Non-coding RNA from Lipotes vexillifer (Yangtze River dolphin), 1417 nucleotides. Lineage: Eukaryota; Metazoa; Chordata; Mammalia; Artiodactyla; Lipotidae. The record is from RefSeq and is a predicted model, not a curated record.
UUGGUUCUUUCUGCUGCCGUAAUAGACAGCGGGUGGCGGUUCGCGUGAGCACGGAGCCCGCGGUUUCCCGCUAGUUUUUUAAAGAUAAUUACGACUGGAAGAGAAAAUGGAAAAGCAGAAGCCCUUUAAAUUGUUUGUACCACCGAGAUUAAGUAGCAGUCAAGUAUCUGCAGUGAAACCUCAGACUUUGGGAGGAGAUUCUAAUUUCUUCAAGGGUUUCAACAAAUGUGUUGAAGAUGAUUUUGGUUUUCCAUUUGCAAUGACUAAUUUCUCCAAAAAUGGGAAAAACAUUGAUUCAGAUCCUGCUUUACAAAAAGUUGACUUUUUGCCCAUGCUUGAACAGGUUGAUAAUUCUGACAGUUGUCAUUACCAGGAGGGACUAAAAGACUCUGAUUUUGAGAAUUCAGAGCCAAUGAGCAGACUAUAUUCAAAACUGUAUAAGGAGGCUGAAAAGAUCAAGAAGUGGAAAGUGAGUGUAGAAUCUGAACUGAAGCAGAAAGAAAACAAGUUACAAGAAAAUAGAAAAAUAAUUGAAGCACAGCGGAAAGCCAUUCAAGAACUACAGUUUGAAAAUGAAAAAGUAAGUUUGAAAUUAGAAGAAGGAAUUCAAGAAAAUAAAGAUUUAAUAAAAGAGAAUAAUGCUACAAGGCAUUUAUGUAAUCUACUCAAAGAAACUUGUGCCAGAUCUGCUGAAAAGACAAAGAAAUAUGAAUAUGAGCGGGAAGAAACUAGGCAAGUUUAUGUGGACCUAAAUAGUAACAUUGAGAAAAUGAUAAUAGCUUUUGAGGAACUUCGUGUGCAAGCUGAGAAUUCCAGACUGGAAAUCCAUUUUAAGGUAAAGGAAGAUUAUGAAAAAAUCCAACAUCUUGAUGAACAAUACAAGAAGGAAGUAAAUAACAAGGAAAAGCAGGUAUCACUGCUAUUGAUCCAAAGUACUGAGAAAGAAAAUAAAAUGAAAGAGUUAACAUUUCUGCUAGAGGAGUCCAGAGAUAAAGUUAAUCAAUUAGAGGAAAAGACAAAAUUACAGAAUGAAAACUUAAAAGAAUCAAAUGAGAAGAAGGAUCAUUUGACAUCAGAACUAGAAGAUAUUAAAAUGUCUUUGCAAAGAAGUGUGAGUACUCAAAAGGCUUUAGAGGAAGAUUUACAAAUAGCAACAAAAAAAAUAUAUCAGCUCACUGGAGAAAAAGAAGCGCAAAUGGAAGAAUUUAUUGAAGCUAAAGCUGCCCAUUCAUUUAUGGUUACUGAACUUAAAACUACUACUUGCAACUUGAAAGAAUUAUUGACAACAGAACAGCAAAGAUUGGAAAGAAGUGAAGAUCAAUUGAAAGCACUUACCAUCGAGCUUCAGAAGAAAUCAAGUGAUCUGGGUAAGUUUUAGAGAAUAACAUAUGUACAUGAUAAUAUUAGCCAAUUAUAA